CUUGCUUCUCUUGAGAGCGGCGGACGGGUGAGUAAUGCCUAGGAAUCUGCCUGGUAGUGGGGGAUAACGUUCGGAAACGGACGCUAAUACCGCAUACGUCCUACGGGAGAAAGCAGGGGACCUUCGGGCCUUGCGCUAUCAGAUGAGCCUAGGUCGGAUUAGCUAGUUGGUGAGGUAAUGGCUCACCAAGGCGACGAUCCGUAACUGGUCUGAGAGGAUGAUCAGUCACACUGGAACUGAGACACGGUCCAGACUCCUACGGGAGGCAGCAGUGGGGAAUAUUGGACAAUGGGCGAAAGCCUGAUCCAGCCAUGCCGCGUGUGUGAAGAAGGUCUUCGGAUUGUAAAGCACUUUAAGUUGGGAGGAAGGGCAGUUGCCUAAUACGUAACUGUUUUGACGUUACCGACAGAAUAAGCACCGGCUAACUCUGUGCCAGCAGCCGCGGUAAUACAGAGGGUGCAAGCGUUAAUCGGAAUUACUGGGCGUAAAGCGCGCGUAGGUGGUUUGUUAAGUUGGAUGUGAAAUCCCCGGGCUCAACCUGGGAACUGCAUUCAAAACUGACUGACUAGAGUAUGGUAGAGGGUGGUGGAAUUUCCUGUGUAGCGGUGAAAUGCGUAGAUAUAGGAAGGAACACCAGUGGCGAAGGCGACCACCCUGGACUGAUACUGACACUGAGGUGCGAAGCGUGGGGAGCAAACAGGAUUAGAUACCCUG
RNAcentral lists this ribosomal RNA (714 nucleotides) under Pseudomonas sp. RNAcentral's name for it is "bacterial SSU rRNA". It matches the Rfam family "Bacterial small subunit ribosomal RNA", at positions 79 to 789 of the family's 1533-position model. The record is from RNAcentral. Lineage: Bacteria; Pseudomonadati; Pseudomonadota; Gammaproteobacteria; Pseudomonadales; Pseudomonadaceae.